Molecule: long non-coding RNA, 340 nt
Organism: Camellia sinensis
Lineage: Eukaryota; Viridiplantae; Streptophyta; Magnoliopsida; Ericales; Theaceae
Source: RefSeq, a predicted model, not a curated record
CACUAUUAGAAUUAUAUUAGAACCCUUACAAUAGAAUUCCCAAACCUUAUUCUAUAUUUUUCACUUGUCAAUACUGUUGAAAUUUUCAAACAUUUCUCACUGAUUUGUGGUUUCUCGCUAUAAGCUGAUUCACAGAGACACCAAUUGAGAAAUUGAAUGCAUUCCCUCCGAGACAGCACCAAUGAAAUCGUUUCUGUUGGGUCUUCUUUGUUCUAGCCCUAACAACUUCCCAACAGAAAUAAUCCAAAAUAUUUCAAUUGAAGUUGUCCGUGACAUUGCUGAAUCUGCUGUUUCAGGGCUUCAAAUUCUGUAAUCAAGGCGGUGAUCUCAUCAACUAAGC